RNAcentral lists this ribosomal RNA (254 nucleotides) under uncultured bacterium. RNAcentral's name for it is "partial 16S ribosomal RNA". It matches the Rfam family "Bacterial small subunit ribosomal RNA", at positions 524 to 776 of the family's 1533-position model. The record is from RNAcentral.
CACGUAGGGUGCGAGCGUUGUCCGGAAUUAUUGGGCGUAAAGAGCUCGUAGGCGGUGUGUCGCGUCGGCCGUGAAAACCUGCAGCUUAACUGUGGGCUUGCGGUCGAUACGGGCAUCACUGGAGUUCGGCAGGGGAGACUGGAAUUCCUGGUGUAGCGGUGAAAUGCGCAGAUAUCAGGAGGAACACCGGUGGCGAAGGCGGGUCGCUGGGACGUCACUGACGCUGAGACGCGAAAGCGUGGGGAGCAAACAGG